RNAcentral lists this unclassified non-coding RNA (1891 nucleotides) under Hevea brasiliensis (rubber tree). Lineage: Eukaryota; Viridiplantae; Streptophyta; Magnoliopsida; Malpighiales; Euphorbiaceae. The record is from RNAcentral.
AGAUGUCCAACACAAAUGCUGAUAAUAAUCUUUUAUUUUAUAGCUCUCUCCUCUGUUCUUCCCUCCUGUCCUCCAAUCUGGCCGUCGUUAAACGCGUUAACGCGUCGCCUUGUCUCGUCUUUGUGGGUUACCACUACAUAUAACCCUCCCUUUCUGUCUUCAUAUUGGCAGGUGCUGAAAAUAUUAUCGCCCAUUAUUUCCUCUGCAUCUGUACUCUCUUUUACCUAAUCCAAACAAGAAAAAUUUUACUGGUUUAGAAACGAGAAGCAACGUAUCAGAAUCAAGAACAUGUCCUUAUUGGAGGAGGAGCUAUUCCCGUCGACUCCUGGCAAGUUCAAGAUCGACCGUGGACACACCAUGAGUCGUCAUUUCCAUCGUUGUUUUGCCUCUACAAGCACCAUGUUCUUGUGGGCUCUUUUCUUGAUUGCUUUGACCGCUUCCUACUUGAGUUUCCAGAGCUUUAUCGAUUCCGGUAGCAAGUACUUCUCCGCUUCUUGGGGCGGUAUACAGUGGGAGAAACAAGUCCGGAAUUCUGCCCAGAUCCAACGCUCCGGCGGCAUGUCUGUUCUCGUCACCGGAGCCGCUGGAUUCGUUGGUACCCACGUGUCUUUAGCGCUCAAGAAACGCGGAGAUGGCGUCAUUGGACUCGAUAAUUUUAACAACUAUUAUGAUCCGUCGUUGAAGAGAGCCCGCAAAUCUCUCCUUAACAAACGCGGCAUCUAUAUCGUCGAAGGUGAUGUAAAUGACGCGCGGCUCUUAACCAAGUUGUUUGAUGUGGUGGCUUUCACUCAUGUGAUGCACUUGGCGGCUCAAGCCGGAGUCAGAUACGCCAUGAAGAAUCCUCACUCGUAUGUUCAUUCCAAUAUAGCCGGAUUGGUCACGCUUCUUGAGGUUUGCAAAUCGGCUAAUCCUCAGCCGGCUAUUGUUUGGGCUUCGUCAAGCUCCGUUUACGGCUUGAACGAAAAGGUUCCUUUCUCUGAAUCUGAUCGGACGGACCAACCGGCGAGUCUCUACGCGGCUACGAAAAAGGCAGGUGAAGAAAUCACCCACACUUACAACCACAUUUACGGUCUCUCAAUUACUGGGUUAAGAUUUUUCACCGUGUAUGGUCCUUGGGGACGACCCGACAUGGCUUAUUUCUCGUUCACGAGAAAUAUUUUACAGGGGAAACCCAUCACGAUAUAUCGGGGCAAAAACGGGGUGGACUUGGCCCGAGAUUUCACCUUCAUUGAUGACAUAGUAAAAGGUUGCGUGGGUUCUUUGGAUACUGCGGGAAAGAGUACCGGGUCUGGCGGCAAGAAGCGGGGACCCGCACAAUAUCGGAUCUUCAAUCUCGGGAAUACGUCACCGGUUACGGUACCGACACUGGUAAGUAUAUUGGAGAAGCACUUGAAGAUGAAAGCGAAGAGGAAUAUCGUGGAUAUGCCAGGAAACGGCGACGUACCAUUCACUCAUGCGAAUAUUAGCUUGCCCCGAAGAGAACUCGGGUACAAACCCACAACCGAUUUGCAAACUGGAUUGAAGAAGUUCGUUAAGUGGUAUCUCGCGUAUUACGGCUACAAUCGCGGAAAAGUUGUAAAUUAACUUUUUUUUUUUUUCCUUUUGGGUUUUUGAAUCUUUGUAAUGACCCUUGUGAUUGAGGAUUUUGUUGAUACCUAUUGAAAUUUCAAUUUUUGAGAAGUUGUUCAUGUUAUAUUGCGAUUUAUCAUAAUUUUUACUGAUUGUUUGAGUUGUUAAUGGGUUGUUCGUUGUUGAGUUCAUGGGUUCAUUCUUAUCUGGGACUAGUUCAUCAACAUUUGUUGAAGAUGAACGUAGCAUCUGGUGUUUGCCCAAAACCAACUGUUCUGAAUUGUUCGAUUCGAUUUUCUCUUAGUUUGGCUCAGUUUUGGUA